Molecule: ribosomal RNA, 494 nt
Filed under: uncultured bacterium
Lineage: Bacteria
Description: partial 16S ribosomal RNA
Rfam family: Bacterial small subunit ribosomal RNA
Source: RNAcentral
GACGAACGCUGGCGGCGUGCUUAACACAUGCAAGUCGAACGGUGAAGCGCCUUUCUUUUUGGUGGGUGUGGAUGAGUGGCGAACUGGUGAGUAACACGUGAGUAACCUGCCCCCUUUUUCUGGAUAACCGCAUGAAAGUGUGGCUAAUACGGGAUAUUCUGGGUCUGUCGCAUGAUGGGUCUGGGAAAGAUCUUGUUUCGGUGGGGGGUGGGCUCUCGGCCUAUCAGGUUGUUGGUGGGGUGGUGGCCUACCAAGGCGGUGACGGGUGGCCGGGCUGAGAGGGUGAGCCGUCACACUGGGACUGCAACACGGACAAGACUACGACGGGAGGCAGCAGGGGGGAAUAGAGCACGAUGGGCGGAAGGAUGAUGCAGCGACGCCGCGGGGGGGAUGGUGGCCGGCGGGUUGUGAACCUCUUUCGGGAGUGAAGCGGGCUUGCCUCGUUUGUGGGUGGGUUGACGGUAGCUGGAGAAGAAGCGCCGGCUAACUACGUG